GUCUUUUUGGUAUUUAAUAUAAAGUCUAACCUGCCCACUGAAUAAUUUUUAAAGGGCCGCAGUAUUUUGACUGUGCAAAGGUAGCAUAAUCAUUAGUCUUUUAAUUGAAGGCUGGUAUGAAUGGUUGAAUAAAAUGCAAGCUGUGUCAUAAAAAUUAAUAAUUGAAUUUAACUUUUUAGUUAAAAGGCUAAAAUUUAAUUAAAAGACGAGAAGACCCUAUAGAGCUUUAUAUAAUAAUUAUUUAAAUUAUUAAGAUUUUUAAAAUUUAAUUUUUAUAUUGUAUUUUGUUGGGGUGACAAUAAAAUUUAAAAAACUUUUAUUUAAAAUUUACAUUAAUUUAUGAUUAAAUGAUCCAUUUCUAUUGAUUAUAAAUUUAAGUUACCUUAGGGAUAACAGCGUAAUUUUUUUUGAGAGUUCUUAUCGACAAAAAAGAUUGCGACCUCGAUGUUGGAUUAAGAGUAAUUUUGGGUGUAGAAGUUCAAAAUUUAAGUCUGUUCGACUUUUAAAUUCUUACAU
This 516-nucleotide ribosomal RNA is filed under the name Simulium suyoense. Its description in RNAcentral is "partial 16S ribosomal RNA". The stretch from base 389 to 516 matches the Rfam family "Bacterial large subunit ribosomal RNA", at positions 2473 to 2601 of the family's 2925-position model. The record is from RNAcentral. Lineage: Eukaryota; Metazoa; Arthropoda; Insecta; Diptera; Simuliidae.